RNAcentral lists this ribosomal RNA (468 nucleotides) under uncultured bacterium. RNAcentral describes it as "partial 16S ribosomal RNA". It matches the Rfam family "Bacterial small subunit ribosomal RNA", at positions 28 to 507 of the family's 1533-position model. The record is from RNAcentral.
GACGAACGCUGGCGGCGUGCUUAACACAUGCCAGUCGAACGGAAAGGCCCUGCUUUUGUGGGGUGCUCGAGUGGCGAACGGGUGAGUAACACGUGAGUAACCUGCCCUUGACUUUGGGAUAACUUCAGGAAACUGGGGCUAAUACCGGAUAGGAGCUCCUGCUGCAUGGUGGGGGUUGGAAAGUUUCGGCGGUUGGGGAUGGACUCGCGGCUUAUCAGCUUGUUGGUGGGGUAGUGGCUUACCAAGGCUUUGACGGGUAGCCGGCCUGAGAGGGUGACCGGCCACAUUGGGACUGAGAUACGGCCCAGACUACAACGGGAGGCAGCAGUGGGGAAUAGUGCACAAUGGGCGGAAGCCUGAUGCAGCAACGCAGCGUGCGGGAUGACGGCCUUCGGGUUGUAAACCGCUUUCGCCUGUGACGAAGCGUGAGUGACGGUAAUGGGUAAAGAAGCACCGGCUAACUACGUG